This is a long non-coding RNA of Fopius arisanus, 3630 nucleotides long. RefSeq lists it as uncharacterized. The transcript has 7 exons. The record is from RefSeq and is a predicted model, not a curated record. Lineage: Eukaryota; Metazoa; Arthropoda; Insecta; Hymenoptera; Braconidae.
GGGAAUUCACUUGACAAUUAUUUUUCAUGGGAAAUCUCAAGAAGUAACAAGAGAUCGGUUUUGGGUUUUAAUAUAUCAAUGAGGUAAAACCUGGAAUUAUCUCGGUAGGGAAUGAUUCUGCGAGGCAAUAUGACAAGACUUUUUUUGUCGAGAAUUUACUUAGCUACAAAAAAAGUUAUUUUCAAUAUUCCCGUAUAAUCACGCGUUAUUAAGAUAAUCAUAUAAUUGCCAUCAUUAAUUUUCCAACAAAUGAGGAAGACGUGAGAAAAUCGGUAAAAUUUUUCAAUCGUAGAUAUCUCAAAAUGGGCCACAUCAAUUCCAACGAAUGGCUCUCAUUGAGAACUCAUUUAGGAAGAGUACUUUAAAAUGAGAUCUCAUUCAUUAAAAUCGGAUGAUGCAGUCAGGAGAUAAUGACGAUUUAACGUUCAUCUCACGACUCUCCCUCGCAAACCUAAAACCCACCUCAUUCACGAAAUUUCCCUUAUGAUUAUUAUCAUCAUUCUCAUACCUCACUUCACAUAUUAAGAAUAUAUAUCUAGGUACAUUGUCGGUGAGGUACUCACGUCUGCAACCAUCGGAUUGAAUUCGACAACGAAUGUAUUUAAUGAAUUCACAUAUAAGUGCUGAUUCACUUACAAUCAAUUGGCGGUUUCAGUUGGAUAUCACAUUUUAUUAUUAUCGCUCCUUGCCACACGUUGAAUAAACAAAAUCAAUGAACCAUGGGCGAACAAAAAAAUAGUCAAAAGUGGUUGAGCAAGACGAGUAUUCAAUGUGCAUUAUAGUAACAUUCCACGAAUUCAGUCCAAUUGAUUUCUGACUCCAGUACAUCACUUUCUAAUUCUCAUUCUCAAUAUAGUCCUAAUUUUUCACCUAUUAUUAUUCCAUUAUUUACGCAGUAUCGUAUAGCUUUACCCAGUGACAGCAACAAUCAAGCAUGCAAAAUCAUACAAUUACCUAACGAAAUAAUCCAUUACAUUAUUUUCAAUAAUAUUUUUUUUUUCAUUUACUUGAAAAAAUCUCUGGUCUCUCUGAAUAGAUAAAUAACUUCUCGAUUGUUAUCAGUUUUGUUUCCACCCUUGAUUAUUUACAAUUUUUAUUCUCUUCGACUCUUCGUAUUGUGUAAAAGACAUUCAAAUCCUUAUAGUCAUUUUUUCCACAAAAUAAUUCAUCCUCACGGUUUCAGACUUCAUUUUAUUGAUUCCCAUGAAAAAAUUUUUAUUAUAGCCAUGCGCUGGGGGCAAAUUAUAAUCGAAAUUUAAUAUAAAUAAUCGAACAGACAAUUAACGAUCACAAAGUGUGAAUGAUCAGCUCUAGGUUCAUCUCCUAUUUGGAUUUAUAAUAGCGUUUUGUAAUAAUAACUACGCAUUAAGUAAAAUAGAUUUUUGUAUUCUGCAUCAAAUGUCUCGUGUCACACUUACAGUCAAUGGAAUGAUUCGUCGUCGUUAUAAAAUUAUCCAUCACUAGUUAUUGGAUCUAUUUUCCAUUUUUUUAUUUUUCUCUCGGUGGUGGUAGUUAUGGCACAAAUGGUCAGCUCAGUUAUCAUCUGAUAUAGUCCUGGAGUUGUGUGUGGCAAUUGAUGAUUAAUCAGAAAAUUGCGUAUGCAAACACUCGUGAAUCGUCCUCUAAGAUCUAUUUCUUUGGAAUACGGUUGAUGGAGGCUUCUUCGUGUCUUCCCCCAGGUCAGGAUCGAAACCAAGAGCACCAGUUUCCUCGAAAUUCCACAGAAAUUUCCCAAUUCAUGUGAUUAGCCGAGGACUGUGUAAUCCUUCGACCUGAGUAUCAAUUGGUGGACAGUGCUGAGUGUCUGGUGGACCCCAAUCAUGGAUGUUGUUACAUAAAAGGUCGACGGAGUUGGGAUGCGAGAGGUAUACCCAGGGAAUAGUCGCUCUUCUAAUCUCGAACUGAAUCGAUUCGUCGAGAAUGGGUUCGAGUCCUCGGGCAUAUCGCACGAGAAGCUUUGGAAAAAUUUUUCGGAUAAAGGACACGACAAUCCGGAUCUUCUCUGACCACCAGAUUAUUGCUUUCAGCUGUACAUUUCGGGUGUAAUAAAAAGCGGGUAUGGAUGGGAGGAUUGGGUCAAUCACAAAUCACCCAGGGUCAAUCCUCGGGGGUGGGUCUGAGGAUUAUUGGGGUGAUUCGACGGUUCCCAAUAAGGCGGUGGCAAAAAAUCCCCUCCAUUAUUCCCGACGAGAGGAUUUUUCUGUUACUUCAACCUCAUUUUUUUAUAAUUCUCAUUAAUUAUUAUUUGAUUUCACACUAGUUCGUGAUUAAUUAACUUUUUAUUUAGACAAUUGUGAACCGUUAGAAGAGAGGAAAAAUAACUCCGAAUAAAUAAUAAUUAAUAAAAAGAAUGUAACAGAAAAUGGAUCCAGGGGUUGGAUAUUUUAAUCCCUCAAAGGAAUAAACUGUCCGCUGUAGAUGACACGCACCAGUGAUCGUCCAAGGUUUGACCGCAAUCGAUGAGGAAAAAAAAAACAUCCAACUUAUAAAAAAUCAGCCCUUCCCACCCUCAAAGGAAAAGGGUUGAACUACGUGGUAAAGUACAGUGUUUCGCGGAGACUUAUGGAUCGCAUCCGGAUUAUCCGCAUGACUGGUGCGAAUUCCGGUAGUUUUUUGCACGCGGAAAAGAGUCGAAAUUCCAACCGGAUGUGAAUAAUGCAACGUCUCAGCAGGGAUUAUCGUUUUUUUUUUAGAAAUCUUCUCAUGAACUUGUGAGGGUAGUUCUUCUUGUGGAGUUGGAGAGGCCUUUUGACAUGCCAAAAAUGGAGUAUACUGAGAAAAAAUAUAUUAUUGUAUUCUGUGAAGAAUAUCAAUCCCUGGGUGAAUUAUAUUUUUUUCUCAGCGCAUUCAUCGAUUUUUUGGGGAUUGUCAAAUGCCCGCGGGGAAACUCGAGAAAUUCCGGGGAUAUUGACAGGCGGAAUGUCAACAAAUCUUACAACACCGAGAGUAUCAAGUUGCUGGAAGAUAAAUAAGCGAGGGAAUUCACAAGGCGCAGAUCAAUAGCUACUCUACUGGGAUUAUAACAUCGAGUUUCAUCAACACUUUUUUUUUCUGGAAAAAAAAUGGUUUUUUAUUCACACGACCUUUACAGGACUCGAGCUUUUCAAGAAUUUCAAAUUCGACUGUGUAAAAGCGUUUUACUCCUUUAUUUUCAUUUAAAAUUAUUAAAAAUAUCCAUUAUUUAAUAAUUUUUUUUUUCAUUGCACAUGAUAGAGUGCGAAUGGCUGGCUGUAAUGACAGAUGAAGAGAAAGGGGACAGGGGGCAAAAGGGGGGUAACAGGGGGAUUUGUAUGUAGCCAGUGGCAUUGUAGCCUCGGUAUCGAGUUUAUUUAUAAUCCAGCGUUACCGGCAUUUGUGCAGCAAGAGGUUUGCAUUCAACCCGACAGUCAACCCAGGUGAUGAUAGCCUUGGCCCCCUGGCCCCAUUCGUGUUAAACUUCUCUUAUGGCGUGUCUUACCCUCGGUCUCCAACUCAUUGGCUCGCUAAUCACCACCUCUUUUUUCUGCAUUUACGCACGGACACAAAAACUCCAAUAAAAAUUACGUGAAAAUUUCCCAAGUUAAUAUUUAAAUCUCAAAAAUUUCAAUACCAUAUAAAAAAUAAUUUUUCCUUAACCUUAUUAUUGACAAU